This 65-nucleotide transfer RNA is filed under the name Aporrectodea rosea. RNAcentral describes it as "tRNA-Cys". Lineage: Eukaryota; Metazoa; Annelida; Clitellata; Crassiclitellata; Lumbricidae. The record is from RNAcentral.
AGUGAUGUAGUUAAACAAUAACAUUAAACUGCAAAUUUAAUAUUGUACCUAGAGUAUCUUCACUU